This 520-nucleotide ribosomal RNA is filed under the name uncultured Glomus. Its description in RNAcentral is "SSU rRNA". It matches the Rfam family "Eukaryotic small subunit ribosomal RNA", at positions 569 to 1089 of the family's 1831-position model. Lineage: Eukaryota; Fungi; Glomeromycota; Glomeromycetes; Glomerales; Glomeraceae. The record is from RNAcentral.
AGCAGCCGCGGUAAUUCCAGCUCCAAUAGCGUAUAUUAAAGUUGUUGCAGUUAAAAAGCUCGUAGUUGAAUUUCGGGACCAAUCUGCCGGUCGUGCCUCCGGUACGCACUGGCUUUAUUGGUCUCUCCCUUCUGACGAACCAUGAUGUCAUUAAUUUGGUGUCAUGGGGAAUCAGGACUGUUACUUUGAAAAAAUUAGAGUGUUUAUAGCAGGCUCACGCUUGAAUACAUUAGCAUGGAAUAAUGAAAUAGGACGUUUGACCCUAUUUUGUUGGUUUCUAGGAUCGACGUAAUGAUUAAUAGGGAUAGUUGGGGGCAUUAGUAUUCAAUUGCCAGAGGUGAAAUUCUUGGAUUUAUUGAAGACUAACUACUGCGAAAGCAUUUGCCAAGGAUGUUUUCAUUAAUCAAGAACGAAAGUUAGGGGAUCGAAGACGAUCAGAUACCGUCGUAGUCUUAACCAUAAACUAUGCCGACUAGGGAUCGGAUGAUGUUAAUUUUUUUAAUGACUCAUUCGGCGCCUU